GGCCUUAUAGUGUAGUGGUUAUCACGGCGGAUUCUGAUUAUGAAGUUUCCGCCGACCCAGGUUCGAUCCCUGGUAAGGCCU
Fomitopsis betulina (razor strop fungus) is the source of this 81-nucleotide non-coding RNA. The record is from the annotation of a GenBank genome assembly. NCBI's taxonomy places the organism in Eukaryota, Fungi, Basidiomycota, Agaricomycetes, Polyporales, Fomitopsidaceae.